CGGGUUUGUUUGCUCUUCGGCGCAGUCGGGUUUGUUUUUCAAAGCAUUUGGUAAGUGUUCUCCUGGCGCGUCCUUAAGCCGCAGGUGUUUCCUCCCUUGCCUGUCGGUGAUGCGCCCGCCUCGCCUCGCUCGCUAAUCAGCUGAGCGAGGCAUCUU
Molecule: small RNA, 156 nt
Filed under: Rhizobium sp. BK347
Lineage: Bacteria; Pseudomonadati; Pseudomonadota; Alphaproteobacteria; Hyphomicrobiales; Rhizobiaceae
Also listed under: 3 other names
Description: sRNA Atu_C7
Rfam family: Rhizobiales sRNA Atu_C7
Source: RNAcentral